CCCCUCUCUAGCAACACUUUCCAGCUCCUCCAGGAAGAUCCAGAGACGUUCCAAGGCCAGUGGCAACGACACUACGGUUGAAAUAAUGGAACAACCUUCAAUUGCUUUUGAAAACAGAUGUCUAAAGUCACUGUGGAGUGAAAGGAACAGCCCAGGAUGCGCAGCCUGCCAUGUAAUAGGAAAAACUCCUGCUUUGAAAACAAAAUCAGAUCUUCAAGCUUGACUUAAAUUUGCAGCUGCACAUGUGAACAAGCCAAAUACUUUCUGGAGAACAGUUUUAUGG
Molecule: long non-coding RNA, 283 nt
Organism: Austrofundulus limnaeus
Lineage: Eukaryota; Metazoa; Chordata; Actinopteri; Cyprinodontiformes; Rivulidae
Exons: 3
Source: RefSeq, a predicted model, not a curated record